This 726-nucleotide ribosomal RNA is filed under the name uncultured bacterium. RNAcentral describes it as "bacterial SSU rRNA". It matches the Rfam family "Bacterial small subunit ribosomal RNA", at positions 60 to 746 of the family's 1533-position model. The record is from RNAcentral.
AGUCGAGCGAGUCUGCCUUGAAGAUCGGAGUGCUUGCACUCUGUGAAACAAGAUACAGGCUAGCGGCGGACGGGUGAGUAACACGUGGGUAACCUGCCCAAGAGAUCGGGAUAACACCUGGAAACAGAUGCUAAUACCGGAUAACAACAGAUGAUGCCUAUCAACUGUUUAAAAGAUGGUUCUGCUAUCACUCUUGGAUGGACCUGCGGUGCAUUAGCUAGUUGGUAGGGUAACGGCCUACCAAGGCGAUGAUGCAUAGCCGAGUUGAGAGACUGAUCGGCCACAUUGGGACUGAGACACGGCCCAAACUCCUACGGGAGGCAGCAGUAGGGAAUCUUCCACAAUGGACGCAAGUCUGAUGGAGCAACGCCGCGUGAGUGAAGAAGGGUUUCGGCUCGUAAAGCUCUGUUGUUGGUGAAGAAGGACGGGGGUAGUAACUGACCUUUGUUUGACGGUAAUCAAUUAGAAAGUCACGGCUGACUACGUGCCAGCAGCCGCGGUAAUACGUAGGUGGCAAGCGUUGUCCGGAUUUAUUGGGCGUAAAGCGAGUGCAGGCGGUUCGAUAAGUCUGAUGUGAAAGCCUUCGGCUCAACCGGAGAAUUGCAUCAGAAACUGUCGAGCUUGAGUACAGAAGAGGAGAGUGGAACUCCAUGUGUAGCGGUGAAAUGCGUAGAUAUAUGGAAGAACACCGGUGGCGAANGCGGCUCUCUGGUCUGUNNNUGACGC